This 24-nucleotide non-coding RNA is filed under the name Arabidopsis thaliana (thale cress). The record is from RNAcentral. Lineage: Eukaryota; Viridiplantae; Streptophyta; Magnoliopsida; Brassicales; Brassicaceae.
GGGACUUAUUUACAAUGGUUGCCA